GAUGAACGCUGGCGGCGUGCCUAAUACAUGCAAGUCGAGCGAACAGACGCGGCGCUUGCUCCUCUCACGUUAGCGGCGGAGGGGUGAGUAACACGUGGAUCCCCUACCUAUCUGACUGGGAUAACUUCGGGACACCGGAGCUAAUACCGGAUAAUAUAUUGAACCGCAUGGUUCAAUAGUAAGAGACGGUUUUGCUGUCACUUCUAGCUGGAUCCGCGCCGCAUGAGCUAGUUGGUGAGGUCACGGCUUACGAAGGCAAGGAUGCGUAGCCGACCUGCGGGGCGGAUCGGCCGCACUAGAGGGGAGACACGGUCAAGACGCCUACGAGAGGGAGCAGUAGGGAAUCGUCCGCAAUGGUCGGAAGCCUUACGGAGCAAGCGGGCGUGAGUGAUGAAGGCGUUCGGAUCGUAAUACUCUGUUAUUGGGUAAGAACAAAUGUGUAAGUAACUAUGGACGUCGUGACGGUACCUAAUCAAAAAGCCACGGCUAACUACGUG
This 497-nucleotide ribosomal RNA is filed under the name uncultured bacterium. Its description in RNAcentral is "partial 16S ribosomal RNA". It matches the Rfam family "Bacterial small subunit ribosomal RNA", at positions 28 to 507 of the family's 1533-position model. The record is from RNAcentral.